UUCAGUGUUCCUGGGAAUGCUCUGCAGAGAAUGUCAUCCCUUGAUGUGGCCCACUGCAUUGCCCCUACGAACAUAUUUAUGUGGUCUGCUGGGUCCAUUUUCCCAUCGUAAACCUGGAGCCUGGGUAGCCUAAACUUUGGAGGUGCUGGUUUUACCAUCAGUGAUUUGUGCAAAGCAUCCAUGCCUACCAGCCAAUUUGGGACCUCACCUCCUUCUUCUGUGUCUCCCGUACUUUCUUCCUGUACGGGUUUUCUGAA
This 257-nucleotide long non-coding RNA is filed under the name Zostera marina. Its description in RNAcentral is "long non-coding RNA (ZMAR_LNC000624)". Lineage: Eukaryota; Viridiplantae; Streptophyta; Magnoliopsida; Alismatales; Zosteraceae. The record is from RNAcentral.